CUACGGGAGGCUGCAGUGAGGAAUAUUGCACAAUGGGGGGAACCCUGAUGCAGCAACGCCGCGUGGAGGAUGACGCAUUUCGGUGUGUAAACUCCUUUUAUAUGUCAAGAAAAUGACGGUAGCAUAUGAAUAAGCACCGGCUAACUCCGUGCCAGCAGCCGCGGUAAUACGGAGGGUGCAAGCGUUACUCGGAAUCACUGGGUGUAAAGGACGCGUAGGCGGGUUGGAAAGUCAGGUGUGAAAUCCUACAGCUUAACUGUGGAACUGCACUUGAAACUUCUAAUCUAGAGUAUGGGAGGGGGAGAUGGAAUUAGUGGUGUAGGGGUAAAAUCCGUAGAUAUCACUAGGAAUACCUAAAGCGAAGGCGAUCUCCUGGAACAUUACUGACGCUAAGGCGUGAAAGCGUGGGGAGCAAACAGGAUUAGAUACCCGAGUAGUC
Molecule: ribosomal RNA, 439 nt
Filed under: uncultured bacterium
Lineage: Bacteria
Description: partial 16S ribosomal RNA
Rfam family: Bacterial small subunit ribosomal RNA
Source: RNAcentral